Molecule: long non-coding RNA, 1030 nt
Organism: Papaver somniferum (opium poppy)
Lineage: Eukaryota; Viridiplantae; Streptophyta; Magnoliopsida; Ranunculales; Papaveraceae
Exons: 3
Source: RefSeq, a predicted model, not a curated record
UUAAUCAGUUCCAAAAAAUGGGAUUAGAAAGAGAUUAGCAACCAUAUUCUUCGGGUUGUUGUAGAUAAUAUCAUCGGACUGAUACUAACAUAGUUAACCGACUGUCGUAAGCCAAUCUUAUAUGAUACCGUCUCUUAAACUAUCGAUCUACUGGGACAUCAGACCAAGAUGGGUCUAAGAAUGGUGGUUGAUCAGGACCAUCUGGUAACUGUGGAAGCUAGGGGUUAGUCGUCAUCUGAUUCUAAUUCAAUAUGAAUUCCCUGCACUCUGGCUUCGCCUCGAACCUGUAGAAAAAUUGAAAUGUAAGUCCAUGAUGUACAACAAAAACACUUUAAAAGAUGGAGGUACUGAAGGGGUUAUUAAGUUACAUAGCGUACUGAUGAAUUUAUGACGAAGGAGAUAUCGUCAGUUUAGUGUGAGGGGAUUUCCUUAUCCAAAACGUGAGUGCCUCAGUAACUUUCUUUGGUCUUAUCUUCAUCAAACGUGUCGCAGAGAAAUUCAUUCCUCUCUCUUCUUUAUCUCUCUUCUUCUUCUUCUUCUUUUUCUUCUUCUCUUCCUUUCUUCCAUGUUCUUCGUCUGUUGGCGAUUUUGAGAAUCAGUUCAUGAUUCUAAGUUGAUAUAAAGCUUAUAUAGAUUGAAGGUUAAAUGAUGGUGAUAGUUUUGAUUUAUCUGGUGAAAAUCAAACCCAACAUAAAAGUUAGUCUUUAUUAACAACGAACGAUUCAAAGGAUGAUCUGGUGGAUCACGGAUCUCGAGGUAGGAGUGGUUUGCCUUCCAAACAGUUUCAGUAAUCAUAAAGAAUGAAGCGUGCGAAUAUAUCCGUUUUCAUAGCUUAGUGCUCUACCUAAUAUUAGUGUUGCCGUGUAUAUGUAUUUUAUGUAUUCUUUCUUUAUUCUGUAAAACAACACAAUUAUAUACUUAUAUAACAUGAGAGACUUUCAAAAUACUGUAUCAGAGAGUUUGGGUUUGUUUGUUAGUGCUUUAUGUGAAGAUGGUUCUUAAGAUUUAUAAUAUGGAUUUGAUGCUUCAA